RNAcentral lists this ribosomal RNA (277 nucleotides) under uncultured bacterium. RNAcentral's name for it is "partial 16S ribosomal RNA". It matches the Rfam family "Bacterial small subunit ribosomal RNA", at positions 81 to 354 of the family's 1533-position model. The record is from RNAcentral.
CUCCCGCCGGGCGACCGGCGCACGGGUGAGUAACACGUAUGAAACCUGCCCGUAGCAGGGGGAUAAGCGGAAGAAAUUCCGUCUAAUACCGCGUAACAACCCAUGGAGGCAUCUCUGUGGGUUUAAAGGAAGCGAUUCCGGCUACGGAUGGUCAUGCGUCGCAUUAGCUUGUUGGCGGGGUAACGGCCCACCAAGGCGACGGUGCGUAGGGGUUCUGAGAGGAAGGUCCCCCACACUGGUACUGAGACACGGACCAGACUCCUACGGAAGGCAGCAG